RNAcentral lists this transfer RNA (83 nucleotides) under Trichomonas vaginalis G3. It matches the Rfam family "tRNA". From Rfam's summary of the family: Transfer RNA (tRNA) molecules are approximately 80 nucleotides in length. The record is from Rfam by way of RNAcentral. Lineage: Eukaryota; Parabasalia; Trichomonadida; Trichomonadidae.
GGUACUAUGGCCGAGUGGUCUAAGGCGAUAGAUUUAAGCCCCAUUACCGUGAGGUGCCUGUGUUCAAAACCCCAGUGGUACCA